This 1492-nucleotide long non-coding RNA is filed under the name Gossypium raimondii (Peruvian cotton). Its description in RNAcentral is "long non-coding RNA (GRAI_LNC007742)". Lineage: Eukaryota; Viridiplantae; Streptophyta; Magnoliopsida; Malvales; Malvaceae. The record is from RNAcentral.
AAAAUAGGUAGGGUUUCUCCAAGUUGACAUUCCAAAUUCAGCAGAGGAUGGCAUGAACGACGACUCAACACCAUCAGAAACCCUCGGCACAAAUUGCCCUGUACGAUCAGAAUAAAACCGCGCCAUCGUGGAGUCUCCCAGACCACCAUAGUCUUGAUUAAACUAGUAGUAACACCUCUAAGCACGGUGACCAUAAUGGCUACAGAUUUGGCACUGCACUCGAGGGCGAAACCUACAGCCACGUGAGGCAGAGGAGAGACGGCCACCACGUCCAGAUCGGAGAUCCGACUCAGCCACUGCCAUAGCCAAAGAUGCUUCAGUCAAGUUGGCAUGCAUUGGCAGAUCUUGAACGGCAUGCGUCUGACGAGACUCGAACUCUAGAAGAACGUCAACCAAACGCUGAUAUUGAAGAGUUUCUGGCGAGAAAGAUGCAAAGGCUAAAACCGCAUCAAAUUCAGACGGAUGGUCGGCAAGAAUAACUUCAACUUUUUCAGCCUCCGAAACGACGAACCCAGAGGCUUCAAGCAACGCACAAAGAUUCUGAAUCUUGGCAAAAAACUCAGAUACAGGUGACGUUCCUUUCUUUAACGAAUGUAAUUCAUGCUUUAUUCUUGAAACUCUAGCACCAGUAGAUGCAGCAAACAUGCGAUUGGCAGUUAGCCAAAUAUCACAGGCUGACUUAGCAGGAGUAAAAGAAGAUAACAACGAAACAUGAAUAGUAGACAGUAACCAUGAGGCUAAGAGCUUAUCUUGUUGAAGAAAAGCAGCCACAUCAGGAUUAGCAAUCAGUGUGCCAUCCGGAGAGGCCACAAACCGAUACGGAGUAGGUAGAGUACCAUCCAAAAACCCUUGCAAUUCAUAUCCUUCGGUAAUUAAUUUGAUAUGUUGCUGCCAUUGUACAAAGUUUUUCUCAUCGAGCUUCACCGUGUCAUGACGAGGGAACACUUGAACCAAUCGUGAACUCGAGAACGACGGAUUAGAAGGAUUAACAGAUGCAGAAUCUUGCGAAUGAGCCAUCAAACAACAGCGGUCACUAGCACCAGUACGAACAAAGCGACUGAUACCAUGUAAAGUGCUUAGAAAUAGAGAUAUUAGUUAGAGACUAACUAACAAAAUGCUGAUAAUAGAAUAAGGCUAGUUUGGAUGGGCGGUGUUUUUACCGGUGAGGUUAAAAAUUGCGGUGGCGGUGAGAUUAAUUACUAUAGCGGUGAGAUUGGAUAUUCUAACAGUGAGAUUAGAAAUAGUGGUGGAGUGUGUGUUUGGAUUCAAACGUAGCUGUAACGAUGAGGUGAGAAUAAAAAAUGACUAUUAAGACAUCAGAUUAGAAUUGAUAUAUAAUAGAAGUUUUUUAAAUUAUUUUAUUUUUUUAAAAUUAUUAUGUAUCUUCUAAUAUUUUAAUAAAUUAUAUAAUUAAUUUAAAUUAUUUAUUAGAUAAAAUGAUAAUUAUUUUUAAUUUUUUAUAGUUAAAUAUUUUUUUAUAGCCGAGUGGUCA